AAACCAACAGGGAUUGCCUUAGUAACGGCGAGUGAACAGGCAAGAGCUCAGAUUUGAAAGCCUUUCGGGGCAUUGUAUUCUGAAGCCUUGAUUCUGAGAACCGGUACCUAAGUCUUCUGGAAAGGAGCGCCAAGGAGGGUGAUAGCCCCGUACGGUACUGACCUCAUUGUAGAAUCUUGGCGUGGAGUCGAGUUGUUUGGGAAUGCAGCUCAAAUGGGUGGUAUGCUCCAUCUAAAGCUAAAUAUCUGCGAGAGACCGAUAGCGAACAAGUACUGUGAAGGAAAGAUGAAAAGAACUUUGAAAAGAGAGUGAAAAAGUACGUGAAAUUGUUGAAAUGGAAGGAUAGGCCGCUAACCACGUAGAGCCGUGUCUGAGGGGAGGAUAAAAGCUGUAGAAUGUGGCUCUUCGGAGUGUUAUAGCUGCAGUGCAUACUCCCACUCGGCGCGAGACUAAGACCUAAGGUCUGCUAAAUGGUGGGCUAUCAC
This 485-nucleotide ribosomal RNA is filed under the name Starmerella bombicola. RNAcentral describes it as "eukaryotic LSU rRNA". It matches the Rfam family "Eukaryotic large subunit ribosomal RNA", at positions 62 to 572 of the family's 3401-position model. Lineage: Eukaryota; Fungi; Ascomycota; Dipodascomycetes; Dipodascales; Trichomonascaceae. The record is from RNAcentral.